This 575-nucleotide non-coding RNA is filed under the name Pongo abelii (Sumatran orangutan). Lineage: Eukaryota; Metazoa; Chordata; Mammalia; Primates; Hominidae. The record is from RNAcentral.
AAACUUUUCUCCCUGGUGGAGGAACCACUUGCAUGAGAAUAAGAGGUUGUUACCCAGGCCAUCAAACUCCAAACAGUCAUGCAACUGGAGCCUCUGAGGAUGGCCCCUUCUGCCGCAAACCCUUAGAUCAGCCUCUAGAGAAGCUUUGACUGCUGUUUCCCCAAAACAGCACCCCCUGCCAUCAGGAAGCAAAAGCCAUGUUGGUUCACCACAUGUAUCACAUCCUGAUAAUGUGAAGUGAAAAAGUAAAGCCUGGAAGCCUUUGUAAGACGACUGUGCCAGAGGAGGAAGAUAAAUAUCUCGAUGCUAUGGAGGCCUGUCAGCUCUUUGAAGUACCUGGGCAAUAUCAAGAUUUCUACUUCAGAUGAAAAAACAAACAGUUAUUCAUUGACCCUGUUGCUGACAAGAAAGAGGUGAAAGGUGAGCCCCCAGCCACGGAAAGAUCCAGCCAAGUAAGGAACUGCAAAAUACUGAAUGACUAAUUCUCCAAACAAGGAGAACAAGAAGAUUUACACUAGCCAUGCAAGGAGUCUUUGAAAGUCUAACAGACCUGACUUGAAGAGAAGGCUUUAAAC